AUGACGACUGGCGCACGGGUGAGUAACGCGUAUCCAACCUUCCCAUAACUACGGGAUAACCCGUUGAAAGACGGCCUAAUACCCUAUAUUCAUCGUUAAUCGCAUGAUUGGAGAUGGAAAGAUUUAUUGAUUACAGAUGGGCAUGCGUCCCAUUAGCUGGUUGGUAAGGUAACGGCUUACCAAGGCAACGAUGGGUAGGGGGACUGAGAGGUUGACCCCCCACACUGGUACUGAGACACGGACCAGACUCCUACGGGAGGCAGCAGGA
This 268-nucleotide ribosomal RNA is filed under the name uncultured Porphyromonas sp. RNAcentral describes it as "partial 16S ribosomal RNA". It matches the Rfam family "Bacterial small subunit ribosomal RNA", at positions 88 to 354 of the family's 1533-position model. The record is from RNAcentral. Lineage: Bacteria; Pseudomonadati; Bacteroidota; Bacteroidia; Bacteroidales; Porphyromonadaceae.